GUAGUCUCGCACAGAUGCAUAUCAAUAAGCGGAGGAAAAGAAACUAACAAGGAUUCCCCUAGUAACGGCGAGUGAAGCGGGAAGAGCUCAAAUUUGAAAUCUUAAAGGGUUUCCCUUUACGAAUUGUAGUUUAAAGAAGUGUUUUCUGUUGAGGUUUUGGUAAAAGUUCUUUGGAAUAGGACAUCAUAGAGGGUGAGAAUCCCGUAUUUGACCUUUACUUUCAACUUUGUGAUACACUUUCAAAGAGUCGGAUUGUUUGGGAAUGCAGUCCAAAAUGGGUGGUAAAUUUCAUCUAAAGCUAAAUAUUGGCGAGAGACCGAUAGCGAACAAGUACCGUGAGGGAAAGAUGAAAAGAACUUUGAAAAGAGAGUUAAACAGUACGUGAAAUUGUCAAAAGGGAAGCGUUUGACACCAGUGUUGUUUUUCUGAAAAUCAAUUAAAGAACUGUUUAUGCUAAGCUGUUUAGACUUUAUCAGCUAACUGUUUAGUUUUGAGCUUUUCUUUAAUGCACUUUUCAGUUAACAGGUCAACAUCAAUUUCUUUUGCUGUAAAAAAGCUUGAGGAAGGUGGCUUGAGAUUCGUCUUAAGUGUUUAUAGCCUCUUGCCUAUGCAGUCGGAGAGAUUGAGGUCUGCAGCGUAGAUCCUUCGGGGCUAAAUGCAUUUGUGCUAAGUUAUAGCAUUUUAUAGACAACUUGUUGACUAUGAUUUGUCUUGUAGCUUACUCGCUUAUGUUAUUUUACCUACGCUUAGGAUGUUGAAGACUCUACAGAGAUA
RNAcentral lists this ribosomal RNA (774 nucleotides) under uncultured Neocallimastigales. RNAcentral describes it as "partial large subunit ribosomal RNA". It matches the Rfam family "Eukaryotic large subunit ribosomal RNA", at positions 24 to 633 of the family's 3401-position model. Lineage: Eukaryota; Fungi; Neocallimastigomycota; Neocallimastigomycetes; Neocallimastigales. The record is from RNAcentral.